UACGAAGGGGGCUAGCGUUGCUCGGAAUCACUGGGCGUAAAGCGCACGUAGGCGGAUUGUUAAGUCAGGGGUGAAAUCCUGGAGCUCAACUCCAGAACUGCCUUUGAUACUGGCGAUCUCGAGUCCGGGAGAGGUGAGUGGAACUGCGAGUGUAGAGGUGAAAUUCGUAGAUAUUCGCAAGAACACCAGUGGCGAAGGCGGCUUGCCAGAACGCACUCGACGGUGAGGGAUGAAAGCUGGGGGAGCAAACCGG
Molecule: ribosomal RNA, 253 nt
Filed under: uncultured bacterium
Lineage: Bacteria
Description: partial 16S ribosomal RNA
Rfam family: Bacterial small subunit ribosomal RNA
Source: RNAcentral